Molecule: long non-coding RNA, 902 nt
Filed under: Homo sapiens (human)
Lineage: Eukaryota; Metazoa; Chordata; Mammalia; Primates; Hominidae
Description: non-protein coding lnc-ESRP2-4:6
Source: RNAcentral
CGAGUUCCUUUUCCUCUGGUGGCUCUGGGGCUCUCUGUCUAGAGCCUCCUGACCUCAUGGGCGCCUGAGCCCUCCUCCGAAAUUUCCUGUCCACACCUCAAGCACUGACUUUCUCCAGGGCCCUGGAAUCUUUUCCCCCAGCCUUAUGACCACAAGUACACGUCCUCUGGUUCCAGACCAUACCCAAGACCCUGCUCCCUGCCACCCAGUGACAGGGACCCAGCCAGAGAUGGGUAGCACCUCAGACCCUUCCUCCCCACUCCUCCCACGGCCUAUACCUCGUUUUCUUCUCCCCAGCCACAACGGCUUCUCAAUCCCUAUCCUGCUCCCCUUACCCCAUCUCCACAGAGUAGGGGAUGCUCCUAGAAUACAGAUUGCGAUGACUUUGUAUCUCCCCUGCCUAAAACCCUUCCAUUCUCCUCUCUGCAGGCCUGGGAUGACAAUACUUGAGGAAUCCUCGCUGGUGCUGCCCUCCUGCCCUCUGCUUGGAACCCCUCCCCUAAGUGUCAGUGAGUGGACGUAUAUAUUUGGAUCAAUCGAGUUGCACCCUUUGCCUCCCAGAUCAGUUCCUCCGGCCUCCCUGGCUGAGCAGAAGGACAGCUCUGGACACUUGUGUCAGCACCCAGCCCACGUGUCCCUGCCACAGCUUCAUAUAAGAUCCAGGAAGGCCACUGAGAUUUCCACUUUAUCUACUGUUUCUUGUGCACGUACUUAACCAUAAAUCAAAACAGCCUCUGUGUUAUCAUCCUUCAAUGUUCAACACAUCGCAUCGGAGUCGCCCUUUCCCUACAGAAUAUAAGCUCUGGGUCUGGGGGCUAAUAGUGUGGGGAUCCACCAUCUUGUCUUGCCCCCACCUGAGACACAGAUGUGGCUUCUAUUCGUAUGUCCCUAUUAAAUGCUUU